RNAcentral lists this unclassified non-coding RNA (601 nucleotides) under Hevea brasiliensis (rubber tree). The record is from RNAcentral. Lineage: Eukaryota; Viridiplantae; Streptophyta; Magnoliopsida; Malpighiales; Euphorbiaceae.
UUGAUUUUGUAUUUUCUCAUAAUCCCAACCCAGUUGCUUACAGUAUUACUAUUUCCAGGGCUUGCAUCAACAGAACACAGAGAAAUAAUUACUUCAAUGCAUUCCAUUAUACCUUCGCUAUGCCUUAGAGGCUCUAAAUUCUUUAAGCCAGAGGAACUCGCUUAAAAAAUAAGAACUCAGUGGCUAGUAACAAGCCCCCCACGAGUAAAUAUCCAUUAUUCCAUUUAAAUGGGACUUUUCCAAAGCACAAAGGAUUUAGCAUAGAUGUAGUACUGAACACAUAAAAAUGAACCAUUAAAGGAAGAAGAAAAAUCAUUGAUUUCCCUGGUAUGCUACUAUAGGAUCCUCCGAAGGUUAAGAACUCACCAGUGCGUUAAGAUUUCUGAACAAAUAUCAUCCAAAUUUUAAGAAGAAAGACCAACUAUGACGAAAUCAUCAUGAUAAAGCAUAUUUAACUAGAGAACGAAAGAAAGCAGGUAAAAGUAAAGUACACGUGUAUGUAACUCAUAAAUAAAGAUUUAAGUUCAUUUCAGAGACAGUUACAGAUGCAAAAAAAGAAAGUAUGAAUAAGUUACUUAGUUCUCAAACCCUAAAAAUGGGC